This 770-nucleotide ribosomal RNA is filed under the name uncultured bacterium. Its description in RNAcentral is "bacterial SSU rRNA". It matches the Rfam family "Bacterial small subunit ribosomal RNA", at positions 8 to 796 of the family's 1533-position model. The record is from RNAcentral.
AGAGUUUGAUCCUGGCUCAGGACGAACGCUGGCGGCGUGCUUAACACAUGCAAGUCGAGCGGAAAGGCCCUUCGGGGUACUCGAGCGGCGAACGGGUGAGUAACACGUGAGCAACCUGCCCCUAGCUCUGGGAUAGCUCCGGGAAACCGGGAUUAAUACCAGAUACGACCACUUUAGACAUCUGCUGUGGUGGAAAGGAUUCCGGCUAGGGAUGGGCUCGCGGCCUAUCAGCUUGUUGGUGGGGUAACGGCCUACCAAGGCGACGACGGGUAGCCGGCCUGAGAGGGCGACCGGCCACACUGGGACUGAGACACGGCCCAGACUCCUACGGGAGGCAGCAGUGGGGAAUAUUGCGCAAUGGGCGAAAGCCUGACGCAGCGACGCCGCGUGGGGGAUGAAGGCCUUCGGGUUGUAAACCCCUUUCAGCAGGGACGAAGCGAAAGUGACGGUACCUGCAGAAGAAGCGCCGGCUAACUACGUGCCAGCAGCCGCGGUAACACGUAGGGCGCAAGCGUUGUCCGGAAUUAUUGGGCGUAAAGAGCUCGUAGGCGGUCUGUUGCGUCCGCUGUGAAAUCUCGGGGCUUAACCCCGAGCCUGCAGUGGAUACGGGCAGACUAGAGGUAGGUAGGGGAGAAUGGAAUUCCCGGUGUAGCGGUGAAAUGCGCAGAUAUCGGGAGGAACACCGGUGGCGAAGGCGGUUCUCUGGGCCUUACCUGACGCUGAGGAGCGAAAGCGUGGGGAGCGAACAGGAUUAGAUACCCCCGUAGUCC